AGAAUCAACGCUGGCGGCGUGCCUAACACAUGCAAGUCGCACGAGAAAGGGUAGCAAUACCUGAGUAUAGUGGCGCACGGGUGAGUAACACGUGAAUUAUCUACCUCCGAGUGGGGAAUAACUGAGAGAAAUCUCAGCUAAUACCGCAUAACACUUACGAGUCAAAGCAGCAAUGCGCUUGGAGAGGAGUUCGCGGCCGAUUAGUUAGUUGGCGGGGUAAUGGCCCACCAAGACGAUGAUCGGUA
This 245-nucleotide ribosomal RNA is filed under the name uncultured bacterium. RNAcentral describes it as "partial small subunit ribosomal RNA". It matches the Rfam family "Bacterial small subunit ribosomal RNA", at positions 26 to 285 of the family's 1533-position model. The record is from RNAcentral.